GACGAACGCUGGCGGCGUGCUUAACACAUGCAAGUCGAACGGAAAGGCCCUGCUUCUGUGGGGUGCUCGAGUGGCGAACGGGUGAGUAACACGUGAGUAACCUGCCCUUGACUUUGGGAUAACUUCAGGAAACUGGGGCUAAUACCGGAUAGGAGCUCCUGCUGCAUGGUGGGGGUUGGAAAGUUUCGGCGGUUGGGGAUGGACUCGCGGCUUAUCAGCUUGUUGGUGGGGUAGUGGCUUACCAAGGCUUUGACGGGUAGCCGGCCUGAGAGGGUGACCGGCCACAAUAGGACUGAGAUACGGACCAGACUCCUACGGGGGGCAGCAGUGGGGAAUAUUGCACAGUGGGCGGAAGCCUGAUGCAGCAGCGCCGCGUGCGGAAUGACGGCCUUCGGGUUGUAAACCGCUUACGCCUGUGACGAAGCGUGAGUGACGGUAAUGGGUAAAGAAGCACCGGCUAACUACGUG
RNAcentral lists this ribosomal RNA (468 nucleotides) under uncultured bacterium. Its description in RNAcentral is "partial 16S ribosomal RNA". It matches the Rfam family "Bacterial small subunit ribosomal RNA", at positions 28 to 507 of the family's 1533-position model. The record is from RNAcentral.